RNAcentral lists this ribosomal RNA (459 nucleotides) under Acanthamoeba sp. Its description in RNAcentral is "SSU rRNA". It matches the Rfam family "Eukaryotic small subunit ribosomal RNA", at positions 739 to 1095 of the family's 1831-position model. RNAcentral also lists the same sequence under 1 other name. Lineage: Eukaryota; Discosea; Longamoebia; Acanthamoebidae. The record is from RNAcentral.
UGGCCCAGAUCGUUUACCGUGAAAAAAUUAGAGUGUUCAAAGCAGGCAGAUCCAAUUUUCUGCCACCGAAUACAUUAGCAUGGGAUAAUGGAAUAGGACCCUGUCCUCCUAUUUUCAGUUGGUUUGCCGCGAGGACCAGGGUAAUGAUUAAUAGGGAUAGUUGGGGGCAUUAAUAUUUAAUUGUCAGAGGUGAAAUUCUUGGAUUUAUGAAAGAUUAACUUCUGCGAAAGCAUCUGCCAAGGAUGUUUUCAUUAAUCAAGAACGAAAGUUAGGGGAUCGAAGACGAUCAGAUACCGUCGUAGUCUUAACCAUAAACGAUGCCGACCAGCGAUUAGGAGACGUUGAAUACAAAACACCACCAUGCGCAUUGCGGUCGUCUUUGGUGUCGCUCACAAGGCGGCACCGGGGCGGCUUAGCUCGCAUGGCACCGGUGAAUGACUCCCCUAGCAGCUUGUGAGA